GCUCUUCCGGUCCCUUCUAGAAGCGAGGGCAGCUACAUGCUAAGAGGAAGAGAAAACCAGGAGAAAACCUCAGAGUUUACCUGUGAAAAGGAAAAAAACAGUUGGAGCACUUACCCACUGGAGGUCCGGAGCCAAGUGACUGAACGAAGGAGAGAGUUACGUCGGUAAGACGAGUCAAUUAUCCGGCGGAGAAAAAAACCUUGUUGACGCUUACCGUCGUCGUCUAUGCUAAUGCUAGCUCUGUGCCUAACAGGCUAACCACUUGGCUUUCACCCAGAGAGCCGCGGCAAGGUCCGACAUCGGCGUGCUCCGCCUUGAUACACAGAGAGCAACGGUCAGGUUUUUUGGAGGACUGAAGAGUCUGAGGUUCAGGACAAACUUCCUGCUGUAACAGAUGGCGAGCCAACCACCCUGAAGAAAGAUCAGCACCGAGAAGAUAUCCACGUACCCACUCAUUCACACACACAUUAUACAUUUACAUUACACUACAAAGACCUCUGGAAUCAGGUGAACUUGCAAUAAUCCUACAACAGGAAAACCUGCAACAACUCCUAUUUUACUUAAGGGCCCCAACGGACAAUUUUUUGUUUCAAGUGUGCACACUGGGUUUUUCUUAUUGUCUUACUGUUUGGGUUAUUAUUUUGUAUUCUGUACAAAUCCGACAACUUGUUUUAUCCACUGUUAAAAAUUAUACGAGUGGCUACUCAACUAUUACCCCUGCGAUUGCCUCAU
This is a long non-coding RNA of Amphiprion ocellaris (clown anemonefish), 732 nucleotides long. NCBI's taxonomy places the organism in Eukaryota, Metazoa, Chordata, Actinopteri, Pomacentridae. The record is from Ensembl.